UCGACAUCGAUACACGGCAAUUCCGGCGAGCGCUGUAUAAAACGGGACCGAGCAAGUUUCAUGGAAACGCCACAUCGUAACGAGCGCAACCCUGGAAUAAUCGAGCGACUUUGUUUGAUUUGGAAAGCAUGAGAAAGCUUCUUUUUCACUGAGCGGUGCGUAACGAUGAUCAAAUCACGUGGAUGAAUCUGUGAUAUCGAAGUUUGUGAGCUUUAGGGAAAAGUUCGUAAGUUUAAAGUUAGAUGAGUUAAAGACUUUUGGGAUGGAUAUCCGAGGAACAAGGGUUUGGCCUUCUCCUACAGAAGGUGAGAAUUCCAACUGGGACACCCUUCGUGGAAUCCAAUCUCGCCUCAAAGAGGCUCGUCUGUGCUCCAUGGUGUAUUCUCCCGAAAGUUCUGUGACUCGCAGCUUCAAUUACCGAGUUCUCGAUCAAUUAAGCCGUGGCGAGAUAAUAAAUUAGUCGGAACAAUCGAGUAUCGUGAUCGAAAUGAUAUUCGAAUGCGACGAGGAAAGAAUGACGAUCAUUCUGCGAAAUAAGGACGAGACGACCAUAGUUGUGUAUAUUUAACUCUCUACGUGAUGACACUUCCUCAGAUGUUAAUAACAAUCUAAUAAAAAUACCCAUAUAUCUUCCUUUGCCUACCGCUGUGAGGAAACGUUGGACGAAAUAACAAACCCUUCGUUUACGAGAAAAUCUACGUAAAACGAAAAAGAGUAAGAUACAAGAACGAAUAAAUUCUAGAGUGACAAUAAUGGAGACAAUAAUUUCCUAACGUCGUUUGUUUAGAUAUUGAAGAUUCGAAGUAUGCAAAGAAUGGACAUAAUAAUCAGACUAACGCCAAAAAUCAUCGUUCAAUAAUUUCGAGCAAUGUAGUGUCAUGGAAUAUUCAACAAUUUAUAUAACUUUCGCAAAACACGUAUUAACUAGGCAUAAAAUAAGAGAAGAUGAAAGAACAAUCAGGAUAAAACGCUUUAUGGAUCGUAUAUAAAUUACAAAUAAUCUGGGCCAAUAUAGAAAUGUCUUUAUCCGCAAUAAAGCUGCAGAGGGUAGCAUAAUAAUAUCGGUGGUGCAGUGGUAGGGAAAGAAUGGUCUGCGGAAGGUUGCUGAAGACAUAUGUGCUGGAUAACCCACGGUUACCCAGAAGUAUUCGUAAAUUACUUCGUUAAUGCGCGUCGACCCGGCAAGUCCUCCGUUAAUUCAGAGGAACUUCCCAUUAUCCUUAUCGAGCAUUGAAAUAUCGUGUGGGAGCCGUAGUUCGUACGACUAUUCGCUAAACACGAAUAAGAACGUAGCCAUGCAUACAUAGGAAAUAAUGGUAUGUCCGUAGCAAUUCGCGAUUACCCUGGCAAACCGUAUCUAAUGGCGAGAAAUGGAACGGUGUUUUCCGUUCGCUGAACAAUUUCGCGAGAAUCACUAGAGGCCAAAGAGGAUUAAAAAGGUUAGAAGAAAAUGGCCUGGCGAGUCUUUACGUAUAUCUCCAGAAAUAAAUAGAAGGAGGGACGCGUAUGCUUCUUUCUGUUUGCGUUUCUUCCUCUGUUUUCGUAACCUCUUAAACGAAAUUUCAAAUUGAACGAAAUGUCAGAGUGCAGAAAUGAUAUUUCGUCGAUACGAUAAAGUAGAGAUAUUAAAACGCUAGAAACGUUAAAUUAUUUAAAAAAUGAUUGCAUCUAUAGCGGAUAUAGAGAUUUAGAUUACAGUUUCUUUUUUCCUUCCUUUAAUUAGGCUGAUUUCGAGAAGUGGGAUAAAUUCAUUUCUACCUUCGAAAUUUUCCGCAGAUGCAUAAAAACUCAACAUUUGCAAUAAUGACCAUGAUUCAAACGAUACUAUCUUCCUUAUAUUUUUAAUUGUCGCGUAAUUUCUCAAUCUAUCGUCUACGCGAUAAAAUGACCAGCAUACUGAUUACGAGCUAAUAUUUUCGAUUCGUCAGACGCAUCUCUAAAUCAGAUAGAUGCGCUAUGUUACUCUCGUACGUACAUACUCGUAUAUAUCGACGCGGCCUACUUUAAGUUCGACUUCACUUCGAGCAGCCUCCCUUCGACCGUUUCUUCUAUCGCUAAAAGUUCCUUUUAACCCAUGUAGCCCAGCUCUUACCGGAUACUCUCGCUCGAUGAUGCAUGGAAGUUCUAAAAUUUCUUGUUGGUGCCAUCCGAAUCUCGAACGACCUUCGGUAUAGGAGUAGGAAGAAGCAAGAGAGGAAAAAGGAAGAAAAGCGACUUCUGCUCGGUCGACAUUAACCUGGAAACGCGAACCGUCGAUCCUGCGCGAAAAUAUCCUGGAAGCAACACCUACACGGUCUCGUCGGUCCCUUUAAUUUCCAUCUGCCUACUCCGACACCAUCGUCGACCAGAACGGAUUGCUUUCAGGAAAAUAGACGAGCCCUGUGUUCCGGUGGAACGAAGGACGACUGCGAUUUCACGAAUGAUUUCACUGGAACGCGUAUAACUCCGCGGAAAGACGGAAUACGAGUUUUCUUCGAGUAGAAUAGAAGCCUCUGAAUCACACUUUCGCGCGCCACCUGCUGUGAAAACAUUUCCCACAAUUUCACCGCUACAAAACGAAAUGCGUUUAUUGUUUUAACCUCCGCUAUUGUUUGUUUUUCACGUAGUUGCGACUGCGGUGAAAGUAGACCGUUUUGGAAGCUUGAGAAUUUGGAUCAUUUCAGCUGGAUCAUUUUUUAACUAGCAUCGUAAUGUAUUUUUUCACCAGUAGUGAAAACUUUCUUAGAAUGAAACGAGGUAUAAAAGAGUCGUUAUCGAUACGCGUUACUUGUCUUUUUAAUUUUAUGGUCUUAAAUCGAUCACAGCAGAGUCAAGGAUUGUGUCGUGUUCGCUUUUUCACGUUUCAAGGUAGUCGUUAAUUUUAGGGGACGCAGCCCCGAUAACCUUGAUCUUGACAACAUACGUCAAGGUUAAGAUCACCGGGGCCGCUUUCCCUAGAGUCUACGUUUAUCUUUAAUUCUAUCAUUUAACGCAAUAUACAUAACAUUCAGACAGACGAUGUACACAACAUAACAACAGAAGUAUAUGUUGAGUAAAAGUUAGGGAAUCAACAAACUUUCAUUCGAUACCUUGGCCGAUACCUUUUAAAUUAGCAUCCAAACCAGGUUUAUUUAUUGUGACACUGGAGAAAUUAAUUGUCAUAGAAUUUCCCAUUGCUGCGAAAGAAAAUAUUUCCACGAGUCACUUGAAGUUUUAUAUGGCUUCCAUCCGACAAAAAUAUCCGAAAGUAGGACAUAUACUUUAGGAAAAUCGAUGCAUUCAAUUUCGCGUGCAAUUUAUAAUACGGAAAAGUUGAUAGCCGGAAGCAACGCAAAAAAAUCGAACGCAGCGGGAAGAAAAUUCGAAGAAAGCCAUCAGGAAGCAUCGUCGUAAAACACCUAAGAAAAAGCUAACUACUCUGAAGUCUACAGAAAAGCCAGAAGCGGAAUAACGAAAAAUCGGUUCUUCCACGUUUCUAAUUUCUGUAUAAAUAAACGAUGAAGAUGUUCAGAGCAAAAAACACAAAUGAAGAGCGAAGAAGAUAAAUAGUAUCGUUGAAUAUUCAAAAAUGGUUGGUAACAUUUUUGAGAAAGAAAAGUAUACAUUAAAACAUGUUUGCCAUUUUGCAAACCUGGUAGUAUAUAGAUACUACUCCAACACAGCUCUAUUAGAACUUGAAUUCGGAAAUGUUGAUAAAUUUUGUAUCGAUUACUUUUGAACUGGCACACGAACAUUAUUUUCUUUUUUUCAAUAGUCAUAAUACUUUGUAUACACGCGUGUAACUUGUAUUUUGGAAUAGGCAUAAAGGCAGAAAUAUUCGGAUGAUCUACAGAGUUGCAGCAGGGGAAGUCGUAUUUCGCGACAUAAACGAGCGUCAUUUGACGCUACUUUCGAUACGGCUAGAGUUAGUAGAGCAGAAAACAAGCUAAUUCAAAGGCAGCGACUAGACGUUCCUAUGAACGAAAAGGGGCUUAAAGGAAGCACAUCGAUCGAUGGUGCCGGCUUUAAUAGCCAGUGUUUAUCGUCAAUACGAAACUCCUGAGGCGAAGACACCUUAUAUGUGUAGGACGGUCUCUUAUGCUCUGUCAGACACAAAUCAGAGAUGUGCCUUUGAUUACAAACGCUGACUGAAAGCUGAGGAGCCACGUACGUUUGGCAAUUAGGGAAAUAUUUCGAGUUUCCUUCCAAUCUAAUUUUAGUUUUCCUCAGUUACGCAAACGUAAUUAACGUUUCAUCGGUGGACAAAUAUUUCAUACUUUAGAAACGUACACACGACGUUAUAAUUAAGUAAACGUAACGAAGAUCGGUAAAUAUACCUUAGUGAAUGUUUAAAAUGUAAUCUUUUUUGAUCGCGAUCUGACGCUAUAAGUCAGCUUUUUAUAACUUUCGUAAUUAUUUAUUCAAUCUCCUAGGCGGAUUCCAUUUUGGUUAUUUAUCCGCGAAAUAGCUUUACCAAUUAACAACGUACAAUAUCCGUCUGGCUGUCUGGAUCGUAAAUAGCAAUUCAAUCUGCUGUUUAAUAAGAUAUGUCGAUAAAAUUUGCUUCGUGACAAAACUUCGCUGUUCUACUCGUGUGCAUUCCACAACACACGAAACAAUCGUUCUAAAGAUAGGUUCGAUUCGGCAGACAAACGCUAUAUCCAGUCAAAUUGGGAUUCACACAUGUGGGAAAACUACACGAGGAGAGAAACGGUUGAGAAAAGGGAGGAAUUCGUGCAAGGAACUGUUACGCGAUUGAGAGACAUGGUUUGAACCAAGACUGCGUGACUUAGGUAUAUAAGCUAAGAUAUUGGUACGGGAAUGGACGGAACGUUGUACGACUAACAACGGGAUCCACUUAAGGAAAGCGUGGAUAAGCUGGGAUCUUCUAAGAUGAGUGUAUCUCGUAAUCUGCUAUCACGUGGUAACUCAAAUAACUUCACGGCGGAUAUCUAAAAUAGACUGUAUGAAUCAAACUGAAUAAAAGGAUAUCUGAUGUAUAA
Bombus terrestris (buff-tailed bumblebee) is the source of this 4961-nucleotide long non-coding RNA. RefSeq lists it as uncharacterized. The record is from RefSeq and is a predicted model, not a curated record. The transcript is spliced from 2 exons. Lineage: Eukaryota; Metazoa; Arthropoda; Insecta; Hymenoptera; Apidae.